AGUGAACGCUGGCGGUAGGCCUAACACAUGCAAGUCGAACGGCAGCACAGUAAGAGCUUGCUCUUACGGGUGGCGAGUGGCGGACGGGUGAGGAAUACAUCGGAAUCUACUUUUUCGUGGGGGAUAACGUAGGGAAACUUACGCUAAUACCGCAUACGACCUACGGGUGAAAGCAGGGGAUCUUCGGACCUUGCGCGAUUGAAUGAGCCGAUGUCGGAUUAGCUAGUUAGCGGGGUAAAGGCCCACCAAGGCGACGAUCCGUAGCUGGUCUGAGAGGAUGAUCAGCCAAACUGGAACUUGGACACGGUCCAGACUCCUACGGGAGGCAGCAGUGGGGAGUAUUGGACAAUGGGCGCAAGCCUGAUCCAGCCAUACCGCGUGGGUGAAGAAGGCCUUCGGGUUGUAAAGCCCUUUUGUUGGGAAAGAAAAGCAGCAGGUUAAUACCCCGCUGUUCUGACGGUACCCAAAGAAUAAGCACCGGCUAACUUCGUG
This 492-nucleotide ribosomal RNA is filed under the name uncultured bacterium. RNAcentral describes it as "partial 16S ribosomal RNA". It matches the Rfam family "Bacterial small subunit ribosomal RNA", at positions 29 to 507 of the family's 1533-position model. The record is from RNAcentral.